Pogoniulus pusillus (Red-fronted tinkerbird) is the source of this 634-nucleotide long non-coding RNA. RefSeq lists it as uncharacterized. Lineage: Eukaryota; Metazoa; Chordata; Aves; Piciformes; Lybiidae. The transcript is spliced from 3 exons. The record is from RefSeq and is a predicted model, not a curated record.
UGCAGUACUCAAGGUGGAAAAAAGGGAACCCUGCACACGUUGCCAGUGCUGCAGCUUGUCCAGAAGCACUGCAGGUGCUUGAGUCUGGCUGAGCCACAACUAACUCUCUCCUUUUGCACAAUGGAGGCAUUCAGUGGAACAAUUGCAUCUAAGGAACAUGUCAGGGAAAAUGGGAGUGAGAGAACUCUUCUUGAAUCACAUGAUGAUGAUGGUGCCUCCAGCUGUUGACAUCUUGGAAACUUUAUCUGGCAUUCUCCCAGGAUAGUUCUGCUCCAAGUGACACGAUUCAAAGUCAGAUACAGAGGCUAAACCAACAGGACCAAACAGAUGAGGAAUAAGUCACAAGCGAUGGAGGACAGGAAGGUCUGAUCCUGUGCUGCCUUGCAUCUCACCUUGCAUUUCUCCCCCCUGAGAAAAGCACACCAAGCUUAUCCUCACCAAAUUAAAAGAUAUAUUAAUGAGCUAGGAAAAAGCCCCAACAGUCCAGUGUGCUGGAGUUGUGCCAGAGGUCACAAGUGCAGGAGAACGUGAGCUAACCCCAAGCACAUGCUGACACAGCUCUUCCUGCAUGCAGCAUUGGAUGCCUUUGGUGUCACCAGGCAAGGUGAGCAUCCUGAAAAUGCUGCAGCGGUCC